GUGGGGAAUAUUGGACAAUGGGCGCAAGCCUGAUCCAGCCAUGCCGCGUGAGUGAUGAAGGCCUUAGGGUUGUAAAGCUCUUUCAGUAGGGAAGAUAAUGACGGUACCUACAGAAGAAGCCCCGGCUAACUUCGUGCCAGCAGCCGCGGUAAUACGAAGGGGGCUAGCGUUGUUCGGAUUUACUGGGCGUAAAGCGCACGUAGGCGGAUUGGUCAGUUAGAGGUGAAAUCCCGAAGCUCAACUUCGGAACUGCCUUUAAUACUGCCAGUCUCGAGUCCGGAAGAGGUGAGUGGAACUCCUAGUGUAGAGGUGGAAUUCGUAGAUAGUAGGAAGAACACCAGUGGCGAAGGCGGCUCACUGGUCCGGUACUGACGCUGAGGUGCGAAAGCGUGGGGAGCAAACAGGAUUAGAAACCCGUGUAGUCC
RNAcentral lists this ribosomal RNA (425 nucleotides) under uncultured bacterium. RNAcentral's name for it is "bacterial SSU rRNA". It matches the Rfam family "Bacterial small subunit ribosomal RNA", at positions 354 to 796 of the family's 1533-position model. The record is from RNAcentral.